RNAcentral lists this ribosomal RNA (567 nucleotides) under uncultured archaeon. RNAcentral describes it as "bacterial SSU rRNA". It matches the Rfam family "Archaeal small subunit ribosomal RNA", at positions 326 to 897 of the family's 1478-position model. The record is from RNAcentral.
CGGGGUGCAGCAGGCGCGAAAACUUUACAAUGCUGGAAACAGCGAUAAGGGGACCUCGAGUGCCAGGUUACAAAUCUGGCUGUCGUGAUGCCUAAAAAGCAUUGCAUAGCAAGGGCCGGGCAGGACCGGUGCCAGCCGCCGCGGUAACACCGGCGGCUCGAGUGGUAACCGUUAUUAUUGGGUCUAAAGGGUCUGUAGCCGGCCGGAUAAGUCUCUUGGGAAAUCUGGCAGCUUAACUGUCAGGCUUUCAGGAGAUACUGUCUGGCUCGAGGCCGGGAGAGGUGAGAGGUACUUCAGGGGUAGGGGUGAAAUCUUGUAAUCCUUGAAGGACCACCAGUGGCGAAGGCGUCUCACCAGAACGGACCUGACGGCAAGGGACGAAAGCUAGGGGCACGAACCGGAUUAGAUACCCGGGUAGUCCUAGCCGUAAACGAUACUCGCUAGGUGUCGGCCACGGUGCGACCGUUGUCGGUGCCGUAGGGAAGCCGUGAAGCGAGCCACCUGGGAAGUACGGCCGCAAGGCUGAAACUUAAAGGAAUUGGCGGGGGAGCACAAGGGCGAAUCGCG